GCAAUGGUAGCUCAGUGUAGAGCGUCAGGAUACACUCCUGAAGGUCGUGUGGUUCAACCCCCACCCAUUGCACCA
This 75-nucleotide transfer RNA is filed under the name Candidatus Fermentibacterota bacterium. Its description in RNAcentral is "Candidatus Fermentibacteria bacterium tRNA-OTHER". It matches the Rfam family "tRNA". From Rfam's summary of the family: Transfer RNA (tRNA) molecules are approximately 80 nucleotides in length. Their secondary structure includes four short double-helical elements and three loops (D, anti-codon, and T loops). Further hydrogen bonds mediate the characteristic L-shaped molecular structure. tRNAs have two regions of fundamental functional importance: the anti-codon, which is responsible for specific mRNA codon recognition, and the 3' end, to which the tRNAs corresponding amino acid is attached (by aminoacyl-tRNA synthetases). tRNAs cope with the degeneracy of the genetic code in two manners: having more than one tRNA (with a specific anti-codon) for a particular amino acid; and 'wobble' base-pairing, i.e. permitting non-standard base-pairing at the 3rd anti-codon position. The record is from RNAcentral. Lineage: Bacteria; Pseudomonadati; Candidatus Fermentibacterota.